GACGAACGCUGGCGGCGUGCCUAAUACAUGCAAGUUGAGCGCUGAAGGUUGGUACUUGUACCGACUGGAUGAGCAGCGAACGGGUGAGUAACGCGUGGGGAAUCUGCCUUUGAGCGGGGGACAACAUUUGGAAACGAAUGCUAAUACCGCAUAAAAACUUUAAACACAAGUUUUAAGUUUGAAAGAUGCAAUUGCAUCACUCAAAGAUGAUCCCGCGUUGUAUUAGCUAGGUGGUGAGGUAAAGGCUCACCAAGGCGAAGAUACAUAGCCGACCUGAGAGGGUGGUCGGCCACAAUGGGAAUGAGACACGGCCCAAACUCCUACGGGAGGCAGCAGGAGGGGAUCUUCGGCAAUGGACGGAAGUCUGACCGAGCAACGCCGCGUGAGUGAAGAAGGUUUUCGGAUCGGAAAACUCUUUUGGUAGAGAAGAACGUUGGUGGGAGUGGAAAGCUCAUCAAGUGACGGUAACUACCCAGAAAGGGACGGCUAACUACGUG
RNAcentral lists this ribosomal RNA (497 nucleotides) under uncultured bacterium. RNAcentral's name for it is "partial 16S ribosomal RNA". It matches the Rfam family "Bacterial small subunit ribosomal RNA", at positions 28 to 507 of the family's 1533-position model. The record is from RNAcentral.